This 52-nucleotide microRNA precursor is filed under the name Equus caballus (horse). Its description in RNAcentral is "mir-1302 microRNA precursor family". It matches the Rfam family "mir-1302 microRNA precursor family". The record is from Rfam by way of RNAcentral. Lineage: Eukaryota; Metazoa; Chordata; Mammalia; Perissodactyla; Equidae.
UUUUUAGUAUAAGUAUAUCCCAUGCAAUUUUGGGGACGUACUUAUACUAAAA